Hylaeus volcanicus is the source of this 2198-nucleotide long non-coding RNA. RefSeq lists it as uncharacterized. The record is from RefSeq and is a predicted model, not a curated record. The transcript is spliced from 5 exons. Lineage: Eukaryota; Metazoa; Arthropoda; Insecta; Hymenoptera; Colletidae.
CAAUUUUAAUUUUAACUGUAAUUUCAAAUUUUAUUUGAUACGAUAUUUUAAUUGAAUUUUGCCGCCGACUUCGGAUCGGAGUAUGGGCAUCACCCGCUAGGGGCGCUGAAACUCGUCUCUUAACAUUGGCUCUUAUGAGCCGCUUCUCCUCUAACCUAUAUUCUGUGAGUUCGACUUCGAAGUGCUUCGAAACCCGCGUUGAAGUUGAAAAGAAUACUCCCAGGCACUUAUUCCAGAAAACUUGUGAAACUGACGACGAUAUUGGCGAAAAAUCAGGUUGCUGGAUAGACCGAAGCAAAAAGGACAUGGCUACUUCGAGGCUCCCAUACCUUCAGGAUUAAGCGCAUAAGAUCAUCGAUAAAUUCUUUCGUGGCAAAUCUAGUUCACCUGGGUGAAUACUGAAUAGUAAACGACUAAGCAACAGGAAAACCCGAUUUCUAUUCUCGAAAUGCUCGAAUCUGCAACUGGAUUCCUUCGAAUGCGUAAUAACGCAGUUGUGACUCGUUAAAAGCUAUUACAAGAGCGUGAGCGUGGCCUUCGGAUCUUAUCUGCGAUCGAAUCUACUAAGGAUCUGGAGGAACGACGGUGUUAUAAAAUGGAACGAUCUAUAGCCUCAACCGGGGCCAUUACACGACCCAAUAAAACAGCUCUGGCAACCUGUUACCGGUUACCGGAUUAUUUCGUGAAUAAAACGGCGAGCGUCGCGUGCGUGCCCGUCGCUCACCUUCUUUGUACACGGUGAAGACAGAGAGAAACGAGCGAAAGAGGAAAUCCAGAGGGAGAGGGACGAGGAAAAAAGACGGAUAGGUCACCGACCGGUUGUCACUGACAAUUCCGUCGUGCGAUAGACAGGUCCUAAAAUAUUUUAGGUAGCCAGGCCAGUCGGACUGACCGAAUUUCACGAAAACCUCAGGUUCCGUUGGGGUUAGUCAUCGAGGAUUCUUGCCCAGCACGAAUUCCACGACAUUGUUCCUUUCUGACGUUUUUCUGCCUUGGUGAAUCAGCGGAUUGAAUCAGAGCAGGCGGAACGAUUAAGCGGUAAUGGACGAGGAAUCCUUCUUGGAGCGAGUAAGGGUGUUCGAAGGAAUUAAUUCGCCUCGGUGCGCGGAAGGGUCACGAGCGAAUUCCAGGAAUUUCAUCCCCACUCCCACUCGCAAUCGUCGCGUCCUCGGUAACCGACCGAUGGUUUCCCUGAUUAAUUCAUCAAACGGUGUCGAGGGGUGGCAGACGUCGAGUUCGUCCCUUCAGGAAGAGCCGCAAGCCCAUCUCGGAUACUUUAUGGCGAUUCCAGCUGACAAACCGGUGGGAAACUCGGGACACUGGACCAACGGUUCCACGUGACAUUAGGCAAUAAUUAACCAGCUUCGUCGAACAUCAAACGUAGCACUCUCCGUUUCCACCAGCGAAGAUUCCGUCAUCCGGUGCGAUGUCAACGGCCUGAGUUUCGUCACGUUUUGGGGAAUCGUGUCUGUUUGUCCUCGGCGUGUCCACAGAGGCUUCCACUCGAAGAGGAAAGACAACGAGGGACCUGUGACAGUUGUUUCCUGGACCACUUCCCCGACAACUGGUGAAUCAAUGCCGGAUUCGGCUGGACGAGGAGGAACGAAGAUCUCGGCUGAGUUUCGGAGCUGAUUAGGAGGAAUCGGGGAAAGAUGGGAACAAUGCGCCUGCUUGAUCCCUUUUUCUAGGAAUUUAGUCUGGGACCUUGGCAGUGCUAAUAUGUAGAAACAUUUUGGGAAAAUGUAGCCUGUUAAAUAUCGUGUACGUACAUUUUUCUAACAUCUUAAAGCAUUCCACUUCUAACGCUCUCAGCCCUUUCCACCGAGAAAGGUUCGCCUUAUCAGCGAUCAACUUUCUCCGUAAGACGCUUGCCCUGUAAAAGUUAAUGGACCGCCAGACUUUGUAUCUCGAGAUGCUUUCUUUAUCUUAACGUAGAAGAGACAAGCUUUUUCUAUUCUUAAAAUUAUCACUUUAGUCACAUUUAGCUUAGACGCAGCCACUCUUCUCUUCUUGUCUACUUGGAAGGGAGGAUUAUAUCGCGCAGAGGUGGGCUGUUUGAGGAAAAUACCUUUCCAGAUAACCAUUCACAAGAAUAUAAAUGCUUGUGGAGCAGAUAGGAAAGGAACUUAGUUCGUUCAGCGUGAAAUUUCAUUUGAUUGAUGUAAUUAAUACAGAUUUUAAUUGCGAUUGGACAAACA